GUGAACGCUGGCGGUAGGCCUAACACAUGCAAGUCGAACGGCAGCACAGUAAGAGCUUGCUCUUACGGGUGGCGAGUGGCGGACGGGUGAGGAAUACAUCGGAAUCUACUUUUUCGUGGGGGAUAACGUAGGGAGACUUACGCUAAUACCGCAUACGACCUACGGGUGAAAGCAGGGGAUCUUCGGACCUUGCGCGAUUGAAUGAGCCGAUGUCGGAUUAGCUAGUUGGCGGGGUAAAGGCCCACCAAGGCGACGAUCCGUAGCUGGUCUGAGAGGAUGAUCAGCCACACUGGAACUGAGACACGGUCCAGACGCCUACGGGAGGCAGCAGUGGGGAAUAUUGGACAAUGGGCGCAAGCCUGAUCCAGCCAUACCGCGUGGGUGAAGAAGGCCUUCGGGUUGUAAAGCCCUUUUGUUGGGAAAGAAAAGCAGCAGGUUAAUACCCCGCUGUUCUGACGGUACCCAAAGAAUAAGCACCGGCUAACUUCGUG
Molecule: ribosomal RNA, 491 nt
Filed under: uncultured bacterium
Lineage: Bacteria
Description: partial 16S ribosomal RNA
Rfam family: Bacterial small subunit ribosomal RNA
Source: RNAcentral